Molecule: long non-coding RNA, 3974 nt
Organism: Molossus molossus (Pallas's mastiff bat)
Lineage: Eukaryota; Metazoa; Chordata; Mammalia; Chiroptera; Molossidae
Exons: 3
Source: RefSeq, a predicted model, not a curated record
CUUGUGGAAACGGCCACCGCAGGGUUGGCGGACUUCUGAAGGAGCUGAGAUGGCGUAUUGAGGCGUUCCGCGGAGAGCCGGCCUUUAGGCCGGUUUGGGCCGGCUUCCGGCCGGUCCAGUGCUUCUGCUGGUUCAUGCGAGGAAGAACAUUUUCCUUGACUUUUAGGUGCUUUUAUAUUCAUCUCGAAAAGAAAAAAUUCUGAACUCAGGAUUUGGCAAGUAUUUGUGUUGUCUCCUGGAGUGGGGAGUCCUGCUUUUUCUGUCCAUCCACUUUCCCUCAUCUUGAAAUGUGGAUAUCCCUCCUCUACACUCUUCCUCCAUGAUUUGGACUGGAAAAGGCUGCGUUUCUUUUUUCUCCACCUCUCAAGUACAACACAGAGAACUCCAAGGAUGUGGUCAUCCUGCCAACUUCUCCAGGAAGAAAGAAGCAACUGACAUGUUUCUUCCGUCAUUUGCUUGCUUGUAAAGAAAUUAUUUUGCAAGCUGAAGGGUGAUAUUUAAUUUGAAAAUGGUGCUUAGAUGGUGGUAUUUGUGCAUUUUUAACCUUUUGUUCCCAACCAGAAGACUAUAUAAACAGCAAGUAUGGGUGACAUCAGGGUUUUUUUAAAUGUCUUCCUGUUUUAGCCACCAUCAUAAGCACAGCUGAGACUGCAGCAGUAAAUUCCAGAUAUGUGUUAUAAUUUGAAAUGAAAGAGAUCCUAAAAAUAAAUAAAUAAAUAAAUAAAUAUAUACACAUAUGUGUGUGUGUGUAUACACACACACAUAUACAUCCUACAUAUACAUCCUGUGACAUAGAUUGAGUGGAUAAGAACAAAGGUCCAGUUUUGCAGUGAAACCUUUGAUGUGAUAAAGAAGCAUAAAAACAAUAUCACAAGGUUAAUUUCAUAUGUGAAUAAGCCAUCCUAGUCUCUGUAUAAGUACAUAUUUUAACAUGUAUAAAUCCAUAUUUUGGAUGAGAAGAUGGAUUUUUCUCCUACAGAAGGAAACCAUUCUUUCUCAGAAGUCUUUGGACAUUUGGUAUUUUUAAAAUGUUUUUCUUCUUCUAAGGGUGGACUGUAUUGUGCAGAUACUAACCCAGUGAAUGCAUGCUUGCGUUUAGUGAAAGGCUGAUAAAAAGGAAAGAAAAGUUUUGAGUCCAGUGAUGGAACCUGUUCACCUCCCUAGGAUGAGAGGUUGCUAUAUUACAGAUUACUUCAUUCUUUUUUGUGGAGCACUUGGGACUUUUUCCUUGCUGCUAAGUCGGGAAGUAAGUGGCAUAAGUGGUUUUUCUGUUCAGAAGAUGUGAUGGACCCUAGAGUAUGACCUGCCUUCAAUUUUGGACAUGGAGGAACCAGGGGAAAUGAGAAAACUUUCCAUAUAACUCCCUUCUAAGAAAAGGAAGCAAAAAAUGUCUUUUACUUCCACCUGACUUUAUGCCGUUUUAAAUUCUAUAGCUCUGUUUUUUGUAAAAGUAUAAAUAACUUUUUCCUUUGACCCAAGGUCAGUACUUGGGUGUUUGAAUUCUUUUUCUAGAUGAUAGCUAUAGUGUUAGGCUGAAAAGGCUGGGACUCAGGUAACUUUUCCAGUUCUCAGAGAAUGGGCCUCAGAAGCAAUGUUCUCAAACUUAUGGUUGGAUCAGUAGUAAAUUUAAAAGAAAUUCAGAUCUGAAAAAACCUCAAACAAGAAAAAUAGUUCCAAUAAGAAAAAUGGAUUUCCCUUUCCCUUAAAACUUAACUAUAUGAUGAAUAACUAUAAUGUAAAGCUGUUCUUGUUUCGAAAUCAACAGAGGACCAAUGUAUGAAUUGUCAGGUCUUUAUGUGAGAAGAAUGAAACCAUUAUGGGUUAGAGAAAGAAUUUAAAGCCUCUUAGAUGAAAUUAAGAACAAAUCACCCUAGGUCCAUACAUUUAGGGCAGAUUUACCAAAAUUUGAGAGCAAUAGAACUGGCCCAGAAUGGAAAUGCUGAGGACUCUUGAUUAGAUUAAUUGGUCCACCAAUCUGAAUUGGCAUAAGAAAGCUUUUUAGUAAAAAUAAUUAUAUAGAUAAAAUGUAAUUUUCUCCAGUUGAGGGCGGUUACUAAAUGGUAAAGCAUUAGAAUAGCUUAAAUUUUUCUCUACGGAACUUCCCAGCCACUUCCUAAUGUUUUAGUAUUUUGGAAUUAUUAAAGAGAAUGGAGUUUACAUACAUGGGUCCCACUGGUAUACUGAGAAUAUCAAAUGGAGAAUUUGUAUCUUUAGUUGUCUGUUCCCCAUCUUCCUGGUGUCUUUUUGGCAGCUUUGGGUAGGAUCAUUUGACAGGAAAUAGGGACCCUGUACUAUCAGCACCAGGGAAACCAUCUCUGGCCCACUCGUUUGAAUAUAUAUCAGACUCAGCUUCUCAAGUUGCUUUAUACUUUUUCAUUUCGCAGCUAAGAGAAUUGUUUCAUGUUCUUCCAAGUUGUUUCAGCAUCUUGUCAGCAGAUGGCAUUUAACAAAAUGCGUAUAUUCCAGAUGUAUUUGCCCAGUGUUUACUUCAUACAUAUAUUGUUUUUUCCUGGUGAUUUUGAUCCCCUUCUUGAUGGCAAGCGUUAUAAUUUUCAGUAGGACUAUGCCUCGAUCUAUAGCUGUGCCUGCUUCCUUUCCUUUGUUCAUCCAUGUUAGCUGGCAGUUUUAUUUUUAUUUUUUUAAGUUAAAAACGGGAUAUGUGCAAUAGAAAUAUAUAUAUGUAUAUUUUAAUACUUGUGGACAAAUGUUACAAGUUGUUUCAGAACAACAAAAUCACCAAUGUCUUCCAUUUUGAGAUGUGUAUAGUUUUGUAAGCAUUAGUGCUUGGUAGCAUAUUGUAGUGCCAUGUUAGGGGUUAGUGCAUGAGCCUAGUAAUAAUUUAAACUUCAGGAUGAAUUACUAUAAUAACCAAUAGUGUAAAAAGUGGAAAAUUUAGACCUUUUCUUCUUUCAUAAAUUUCUAUAUCCAUGAUAUUCUCCCUGGGGAGAGGAGAUAAGGCCAAAAAGACUCAUUUAUGAAUAGUAAUGUGGGGUCACAAUGUGAAAUACUGUUUGAGGAUAUUUAAGCUUCUCAUGAGGUAGUUGGAAACCAGCUGCCUGUGUGUCUUAAUGAAACCUCAAAUCAAAAUGUGGCUCCAUUUCAUGCUUUUGCUUUGCUUAGUUUGAGGUGAGAUUGUUCUUACGCUGUCUACACAUUUUAUGUCAUUUAGGUUUAUUAUUUUCCUACUCCUUUUGAAUCAGGAAAUUAUUUUGCAUGUCUUACUGAGAUGCUGUGUUAAUUGCUUAAGUGAGUGCUUUUCUAAUCUGCAGACCAUUUACACUUCCUGUCUGCAGCAUGUCAUAUGUCAGUAGUUCAGAGUGCCCUGAAUUAAUUUGUCAUGGGCUUUUCCUAUUUCCAAAUUUGCUGAAUUGUGUAUUGUUGGGAUUCCAGACUUUUUCAUGGAAUUGGAAAUUUAGCCAAUACAGCCUACGUAGGUUGCCAUGUAAUAACUAACUCUUUUGCUUGGUUAUAGUAAGCCAAGCCACCUCAGACAGCUUUCACUUUUCUACUUUCCUUGUAGACAUAAAAGUUAUUUUGUUCUGAAAGCAUAAGAUAGCUUCCUGUAGAAAAGAAUUUCCUACCUCUAAAAGCUGCCUUGAGAAAUUGGAAGUGGCAGUUUUCUGAGGUGAUUUUUAAAUCUCAGUGUUAGGAGAGUCCGGGAUUUAUUGACAGGUUCUAUAGUUAGCAUGAUAGGAAAUGCAAAACUAUCUUAAUGUGGUGUGUCUCAUGUAGAAGCAAGCUUAGGAAAAUACACUGUUGUUCUACAGCAGUUCUCCAGGGACCCAGGUUUAGAUUCUCAUAGUGUACUUUAAGUAGUUGUAUUCUUGACUCAAGUAGUUUAGUGCCUGUGAGAAUCCAUUUCUGAAAAGCAUUUAAACAUUUAUUUUAAAAUACCUCUGAAAAGGUAACGAAUGCAAAAUAGCACAGUAUAUAGGAAAGGAUAUUUCCUAUUGCAAAAAAAAAAAAAAAAAAAA